GAUGAACGCUGGCGGCGUGCCUAAUACAUGCAAGUCGAGCGAACGGACGAGAAGCUUGCUUCUCUGAUGUUAGCGGCGGACGGGUGAGUAACACGUGGAUAACCUACCUAUAAGACUGGGAUAACUUCGGGAAACCGGAGCUAAUACCGGAUAAUAUUUUGAACCGCAUGGUUCAAAAGUGAAAGACGGUCUUGCUGUCACUUAUAGAUGGAUCCGCGCUGCAUUAGCUAGUUGGUAAGGUAACGGCUUACCAAGGCAACGAUGCAUAGCCGACCUGAGAGGGUGAUCGGCCACACUGGAACUGAGACACGGUCCAGACUCCUACGGGAGGCAGCAGUAGGGAAUCUUCCGCAAUGGGCGAAAGCCUGACGGAGCAACGCCGCGUGAGUGAUGAAGGUCUUCGGAUCGUAAAACUCUGUUAUUAGGGAAGAACAUAUGUGUAAGUAACUGUGCACAUCUUGACGGUACCUAAUCAGAAAGCCACGGCUAACUACGUGCCAGCAGCCGCGGUAAUACGUAGGUGGCAAGCGUUAUCCGGAAUUAUUGGGCGUAAAGCGCGCGUAGGCGGUUUUUUAAGUCUGAUGUGAAAGCCCACGGCUCAACCGUGGAGGGUCAUUGGAAACUGGAAAACUUGAGUGCAGAAGAGGAAAGUGGAAUUCCAUGUGUAGCGGUGAAAUGCGCAGAGAUAUGGAGGAACACCAGUGGCGAAGGCGACUUUCUGGUCUGUAACUGACGCUGAUGUGCGAAAGCGUGGGGAUCAAACAGGAUUAGAUACCCUGGUAGUCCACGCCGUAAACGAUGAGUGCUAAGUGUUAGGGGGUUUCCGCCCCUUAGUGCUGCAGCUAACGCAUUAAGCACUCCGCCUGGGGAGUACGACCGCAAGGUUGAAACUCAAAGGAAUUGACGGGGACCCGCACAAGCGGUGGAGCAUGUGGUUUAAUUCGAAGCAACGCGAGGAACCUUACCAAAUCUUGACAUCCUUUGACAACUCUAGAGAUAGAGCCUUCCCCUUCGGGGGACAAAGUGACAGGUGGUGCAUGGUUGUCGUCAGCUCGUGUCGUGAGAUGUUGGGUUAAGUCCCGCAACGAGCGCAACCCUUAAGCUUAGUUGCCAUCAUUAAGUUGGGCACUCUAAGUUGACUGCCGGUGACAAACCGGAGGAAGGUGGGGAUGACGUCAAAUCAUCAUGCCCCUUAUGAUUUGGGCUACACACGUGCUACAAUGGACAAUACAAAGGGCAGCGAAACCGCGAGGUCAAGCAAAUCCCAUAAAGUUGUUCUCAGUUCGGAUUGUAGUCUGCAACUCGACUACAUGAAGCUGGAAUCGCUAGUAAUCGUAGAUCAGCAUGCUACGGUGAAUACGUUCCCGGGUCU
This 1372-nucleotide ribosomal RNA is filed under the name uncultured bacterium. RNAcentral describes it as "bacterial SSU rRNA". It matches the Rfam family "Bacterial small subunit ribosomal RNA", at positions 28 to 1381 of the family's 1533-position model. The record is from RNAcentral.